This 492-nucleotide ribosomal RNA is filed under the name uncultured bacterium. RNAcentral's name for it is "partial 16S ribosomal RNA". It matches the Rfam family "Bacterial small subunit ribosomal RNA", at positions 29 to 507 of the family's 1533-position model. The record is from RNAcentral.
AGUGAACGCUGGCGGUAGGCCUAACACAUGCAAGUCGAACGGCAGCACAGUAAGAGCUUGCUCUUACGGGUGGCGAGUGGCGGACGGGUGAGGAAUACAUCGGAAUCUACUUUUUCGUGGGGGAUAACGUAGGGAAACUUACGCUAAUACCGCAUACGACCUACGGGUGAAAGCAGGGGAUCUUCGGACCUUGCGCGAUUGAAUGAGCCGAUGUCGGAUUAGCUAGUUGGCGGGGUAAAGGCCCACCAAGGCGACGAUCCGUAGCUGGUCUGAGAGGAUGAUCAGACACACUGUAACUGAGACACGGUCCAGACUCCUACGGGAGGCAGCAGUGGGGAAUAUUGGAGAAUGGGCGCAAGCCUGAUCCAGCCAUACCGCGUGGGUGAAGAAGGCCUUCGGGUUGUAAAGCCCUUUUGUUGGGAAAGAAAAGCAGCAGGUUAAUACCCCGCUGUUCUGACGGUACCCAAAGAAUAAGCACCGGCUAACUUCGUG